This 544-nucleotide long non-coding RNA is filed under the name Carica papaya (papaya). RNAcentral describes it as "long non-coding RNA (CPAP_LNC014961)". Lineage: Eukaryota; Viridiplantae; Streptophyta; Magnoliopsida; Brassicales; Caricaceae. The record is from RNAcentral.
UAACUGGUGUAGGCAGGGUGGCCCGCUUGAGCUCCCACCAGCGUACUGCUUCCCCUACCAGCAUGUAGGAGGCAAUGGCAGCCCUCUGCUCAGGAACUACUCCCAAGGUCUCGAAGGCUCUCUCAGUCUCUGCCAGCCAAUAUUGGGCCUCUUCAAAAGAGGAUCCCCCUGCAAAAGUAGAAGGGUUCAGUCUUCUGUACCUCUCUAUGAAGCUGGGAUCGAUCAAGGAAGGAGCGGGGUCCCGAGGUAGGGGGACUGAGACCGGCUGAGGGUGAACUGGGGGACCCUGUGGUGGAACCUGCUGAUGUGGUGGGGGUACUGGAAAGUGCUGUGGCGGCGCCUGCUGGUACUGUGGCUGUGGUACCGGGUCGUACCGCGGCUGUGGUGCCGGUUGGUACUAUGGAGGAACAGACUCCUGCCGGGGUGGUACGGGAUCUGCCUGCUGUAGUGGGGGCUCAACCUGCGCUAGCGGAGGAGGUCCGGGUAACUCUCUUCUCUCCUCUUGCCUUCGCUGGGCAGCUAUGAGAGCCUCCACCAUCUCAUA